CGCCCGCCGGCCGCUGCCCCCGCCGCUGCCAUGAGGAUCGCAGCCCAGGUGUGCUUGCUGGCUGUUCUCCACCUGAUUACUGCACCUGAGGCUGGCGCAUUCUUCUUGCCCUUCUGGUGUUUCAAGCUUGCGAGGAAGUGGCGCCUGGGGCUGUCCCUGCCCUGGCUAGGCGAGGAGGAUGGCCGGCACGAACACGUGCACUACCACAACCACAACCACAACCACAGGCACAGGCUUCCAGUGUCGCCGCGCCGGCCGUUCUUCAGAUAACCAAGGCACUGCGUCAACAGCUGAGCAGCAUUUGCCCGCCCAACUACGAGGCGGAUCGCAGCGCAGCGGCCGGGCGCCUUGCAGAGUGGCGGGAACCGAACCCGGGGCCCCACUCCUCCGUGUCCGCCUCAGAAGCAGGAGACUUCGCCAGCUGCGGCCCACUAGCGCUGCUGCCCUGCGGUUUUCCUGACCUGCGAGCCACGACGUCACACAGCGACUUACUGCCUGGUUUCCCUCUCCCGAAACGAACCCCGUACCUCGUGUCCGCAGAACAAAUCACAUAACUACAACUGAGAGAAAUCUCUCCCGCCGCGGCUGCAUUUACUGUGACCUUCACGCACGGAACGUAUCAGUACCAACAGGGAAUUUCACAGAAAAUGAUUCUAUAAAAGAUAACUAUUGAGAUAUGACUUAUAAGUCAGAGUUGCUCCCUGGAAUGCAUACCCGCCGUCUCCAAUCCGUAUUGAUUGUGCCUGCUAAUGACGACUCUCAUGUCGAGUCAAAUAUCGCCAGAACAUACUCUCUGGUGGAGCCUGUCCUCAAAUCCAAACCACUGUGACUUCUGAAGUACGCAUCAUCUCGUAUGAGAACAAGUAUAAUUCUGUUACAUGUGAUUGUCCCCUUCAGCUCACUACAAUGAUCAAUCAAAAGCUAACUCACAGUACACUGUCACUUGGUCAUGAUAGGCACUACGAAAAUUAAACUUUGAAGCUAGGAGCACUGGUACUUUACUCCUUGGGAAAAGGCACUAGUAUAUAAUUUCUCUGCUUCACUACACUGCAGACUUCAUUGCCUCUCUGAUAACAAUGUACGUCGGCCCAUUACAUCACUACUUAACGUACGCGAUGAGCUCAUCGAAACUUAUUCCCACUCUAACAAUACCACCACCUGUAAAGUAGGUUAGAAAUCAGAUUAAUAACGUUACUCACGCAGCAUAUGUUCGCUUUAUCGGGCAAACAACAAAGUUAUUGACUGUGGAUGGUAUCGUCAGAAUGAAAAUAAUGAAGUCACUGUAAAAAAUUCAUUAAUUUUGGCACUUAUCUUGAAUGGAUUCCCACGUAGAUUUCGUCGAAGUUGUAAUGGCUCAUCUUGUUGAUUCUAGGGUGAUUCCACUUUGACUGCUAGAAGGUCCAGAUCUGUAUUUUAGCAAUAUUUGAAGACCUAACAAAUGCGUUUUUCAGGAAAUUCUUAGUGAUCAAACAAUCCCAGAUCAGCACAAUGGUAUGGUAGAAAUAAUUUUUGACUUGGUGUUCACGAUCCACAUUUUUAUUAAACUUCUUGUAAAUUCACAUAUACUUCUUCUUAGUUGUCACACCAUCAAGAAAACAGUUUUGUAUCAAUCUUCAUAUAUCUCAUUUCCACUUUAAACAAACUCAAGGCUUGACUGUUCUUUUACAAAGCGAAAUAACAACUUAACUUCUGCAAAGUGAAACAAAGACUGCUCUGUGCGCAUUCGCGCCAAAACGGUUACAAGUAAUUCAAAGAUUAUGACAGUCUCACAGAAAUGAAUACACACAAGAAGCAUAUCACUGUAAUAUAUCGAUACAUCGGAGUACCUAUACAUUAAUAAAACCAAACGUGAAUAUUGUCACAAAAAAGUCUGUUACUUCGCAGAAAUGUAGUACGAUAUUACUGGUAUAUAGAACUGGGGUUGGAGUGCCGUAAUGGUCACGUACAUAAAGAACCAUUACACCACGCUGACGAUCUUUCAAUCGUCCAAACAGAUGGUACUGUCUCAGCAUUGUAUGUAAGAUGUGGCACCAAUACCGGUCCCACUUGGCCAACCUUUCGAACUGGGACUUGAUAACUUGAGUUGCAGGCCUGAUUACACUAUUGCGCGGUGACUCAUUGUCUUCAGACUGACACUCCUAUUUCGUUCCCACGGUGUGCUGAAGUUUGGUGAAGUCGUUGUUUGGUACUGUUUGUUUCAUAUCAAAGGAAUACGGCGCAAAUCGCUCUCCUGAGAUCACGAAAGAACGCCAACAAUUUGUUACGUUAUGUGUCAAGUUGCUAACUGUUCGGUGCCGUAUACACGUCUUCCUGUCCCUUUCGCCUUAGGGCUAGAGCGAGUCCUACAUUAAGUUUGCAGAUCGUCGUACACUUCCUUUCUAAUUGAAAUCAGUUCCUUACGAAGAGAAAUGUAAUUCAGUGUACACAAUCUUCUCCAUGUCCCAGUUGUUCGAUUUUCAUUGAAGUGAAUAUUUUCGCCAUUCCUACAUGCAUCACGAACUGUAUCAUACUUAUACAUUCGUAAUAUUGAUUGUCUUCACCAAUGAGUGACGCGUUUCAAGUUAUAAUGACUGUUGAUGGCUAUUCCUAGAUGCUAUAAUUACUGUGGUGAAACCUCUGAGGCCAUCGGAACACAGCACGUAGAUCCAAUGUGUUGUCGCCGUGGACUACUAAUAGCUUACUGUGAGCAGGUGUUUCUUAGUUAAGACCACAUUUAUAGAGAAGUUGCGCGAUAGGGUAGAAGAGUGUCGCAUUUAUCAUCCAUGAUGCCUCAGGUAAAACAACCAAAUUUGGUUUCGUGCAAGUAUGUUUCUACAUACAAAAUAUCGACUUCCGUGCUCUUACGGUAACAGACGUGCUUUAUGUAUGGUACUUUCUGAUGGGCUGUCUUAUAUUGUAGGGCAGAAGGACAAUUUCUGGUACAGCAAACGCCUUACACUGACCAAGAAAGUGUUUUUAAACACAUUAUUACGCUGACUUUAAUGUGGUGUACCUAGCAGUUUAGUUUUUUCCUCAAGCUAUACUUAUAAAAUUUCACACGCCUUGUGUCCCGAUCUGUAUUUACGUAUGCCAGUGUUAACGUGUACUGGUUUGAUCCCUGAAAAGAUUUCCAGCCCGAAGUGUAUGAUGAUUGCGGUCUAGAUUCUACGCUAUGUAAGAGUAUGAAAUUAGGUUGAGCUGCUAUUGUUCGAACAUACAGUUUGCAGUUCCGUGCAUACUCGAAGAUACGUGGUAGUAACGAGAGAGCAAAUGGUGAAGCUGCAAUAGGUUGUCUCAGGGCCGCAGUUGACCACGGAAAGAAGACAAAUGCGGAAACAGAUAGGGGAAGUCGCUGUGUUGAAUGAUGUAGUAGUAGUAUUGUGAUUAGGUAAAAGUGUCCCUGCAUAACAGUAGAAACGGAAAUGUUAUUGGUUUAUUUCGACCGUACUAUUGAGGAAAAUGUUGUAUGACAGAAAAUGUUUUGUAUGUAUGUGUGUGUGUGUUUGCCAUAAAUUACGAAUUGAUUAUAGUUAUAGGACUGAGAUCUGAAGACUUAGGGAACUCGUUAUGUACAAUGGCAUUCCUCAAGUUAAAAACAUAUAUUUUGUAAGUAAUUCAUGGUUCCUAAAUAAAAUAUUGCUA
Schistocerca nitens (vagrant locust) is the source of this 3621-nucleotide long non-coding RNA. RefSeq lists it as uncharacterized. The transcript is spliced from 4 exons. The record is from RefSeq and is a predicted model, not a curated record. NCBI's taxonomy places the organism in Eukaryota, Metazoa, Arthropoda, Insecta, Orthoptera, Acrididae.